CCUGAACCGGAAGUGACUGAUGGCUAGUUUUUGUGGCUUCUGGACCCUUUAUUGUGCGGGAAAAUGGAUGGUCCUUUGUCCUCAAGACUGUAGAAAAUAACUAAACACAAUGUAUUACUGACACCGGAGAACAGACACAACUACAUUCUUCACUAAAGAACUUUGAGAUUCCUAUCGGAGUAUUCCCAUUCCGUUUGGACUGAGGAUUCACAGAUUUUCCCA
Molecule: long non-coding RNA, 222 nt
Organism: Pelobates fuscus (common spadefoot toad)
Lineage: Eukaryota; Metazoa; Chordata; Amphibia; Anura; Pelobatidae
Exons: 3
Source: RefSeq, a predicted model, not a curated record